This 465-nucleotide ribosomal RNA is filed under the name uncultured bacterium. Its description in RNAcentral is "bacterial SSU rRNA". It matches the Rfam family "Bacterial small subunit ribosomal RNA", at positions 926 to 1391 of the family's 1533-position model. The record is from RNAcentral.
UCCGCGGUGGAACAUGUGCUUUAAUUCGAUGCAACGCGAAUAACCUUACCUGGUCUUGACAUCCACAGAACUUUUCAGAGAUGAGAAGGUGCCUUCGGGAACCGUGAGACAGGUGCUGCAUGGCUGUCGUCAGCUCGUGUUGUGAAAUGUUGGGUUAAGUCCCGCAACGAGCGCAACCCUUAUCCUUUGUUGCCAGCGGUCCGGCCGGGAACUCAAAGGAGACUGCCAGUGAUAAACUGGAGGAAGGUGGGGAUGACGUCAAGUCAUCAUGGCCCUUACGACCAGGGCUACACACGUGCUACAAUGGCGCAUACAAAGAGAAGCGACCUCGCGAGAGCAAGCGGACCUCAUAAAGUGCGUCGUAGUCCGGAUUGGAGUCUGCAACUCGACUCCAUGAAGUCGGAAUCGCUAGUAAUCGUGGAUCAGAAUGCCACGGUGAAUACGUUCCCGGGCCUUGUACACACC